UUGUAAGUUAAUAAUUGAAGUUAAAAAUUUUUAAUAAAAAGUUAGGAUAAGAUACCCUAUUAUUUAAAAUGUAAAUUAAUUGCUAAAGUAGUAAUAGUUAUGUUCUUGAAACUUAAAAAAUUGGGCGGUAUUUUAGUCUAUCCAGAGGAACCUGUUUUGUAAUCGAUAAUCCACGAUGGACCUUACUUACGUUUGUAAUCAGUUUAUAUACCGAGAUCGGAAGA
Molecule: non-coding RNA, 224 nt
Organism: Drosophila suzukii
Lineage: Eukaryota; Metazoa; Arthropoda; Insecta; Diptera; Drosophilidae
Source: RefSeq, a predicted model, not a curated record